AAUCCAUGGUGAAGACACCUUCUGAGUAAGUCCUUGUAUCUCUCCCAUGCAUUGUAGAGUGUUUCUAAAUCUAUCUGCACAAAAGAAGUGAUAUCAUUACGUAAUU
This 106-nucleotide small nucleolar RNA is filed under the name Gossypium arboreum. Its description in RNAcentral is "Plant small nucleolar RNA R71". It matches the Rfam family "Plant small nucleolar RNA R71". From Rfam's summary of the family: R71 is a member of the C/D box family of snoRNAs containing the C (UGAUGA) and D (CUGA) box motifs. Multiple nearly identical copies of this snoRNA have been identified in Arabidopsis, and it is thought to function as a 2'-O-ribose methylation guide for 18S ribosomal RNA. Lineage: Eukaryota; Viridiplantae; Streptophyta; Magnoliopsida; Malvales; Malvaceae. The record is from Rfam by way of RNAcentral.